Molecule: ribosomal RNA, 977 nt
Filed under: Taphrina gei-montani
Lineage: Eukaryota; Fungi; Ascomycota; Taphrinomycetes; Taphrinales; Taphrinaceae
Description: partial small subunit ribosomal RNA
Rfam family: Bacterial small subunit ribosomal RNA
Source: RNAcentral
AAGGGUCCGUAAAACGGUAAAUUAAGCGACUUUUAUAAUGAAAAAAGAAAUUAAAUCGAACUAAUUUACUAGAGUCUUAUAGAGGAACAGAGGAAUUGCAAGAGUAAGGAUAAAAUCUAUUGAUACUUGUAGGACCGCCAAUGGCGAAGGCAUCGUUCCAGGUAUAGACUGACGUUGAGGGACGUAGGCGUUGGGAGCGAAAAGGAUUAGAUACCCCUGUAGUCAACGCUGUAAACGAUGAGUGCUUAAGAUUAGUUAAAAAUAAUAAUUGUUUUGAAGGACAAUUCAAAAUUAGUCUCGAAAUGAAGAUGUUAAGCACUUCACCUGGGGAGUACUGUCGCAAGGCUGAAACCCAAAACAUUAGACGGUCACGGAAACCAGCAGUGAAGCAUGUUAUUUAAUACGAUGAUCCGCGUACAACCUUACCACUUCUUGAAUGUCCUUUUUUUUAAAGGCCUAUUUAAUUAAUAUUAAAAAUUUUUGCUGUCCUUAUGAUUAAUUCAUAAGUUAAAGCCGAAAUUAUUUUUUUGAUGAAAUUAAAUUUGGAUAAAUACAACAUUUAAUAAUAAUUAUUAUUAUUAUUAUUAAAUUAGUAUAAUCCUAUUUAUUAUUUUAACAACAUUAAUUAAAUUUGGAUAAAUACAACAGGCGUUGCAUGGCUGUCUUCAGUUCGUGUCGUGAGAUGUCAGGUUCAUUCCGGUAAACGAAUGAAACCCUUCUUUCUUAAUUUUUAAUUUAUAUUCUUUUCUUUGAAAUAAGUUAGAAUUAAAUUCAUUAAGAUGAUUCUUGGAUAACGAGGAUAUAAUGGGGAUUAAGACAAGUCGUCAUGGCCUUUAUGAAGUGGGCUAUAGACGUGCCACAAGAGCCUUUACAAUAGGAUGCUAAGACGUGAGUCAGCGCUAAACCUUAAAAAAGGCUAUGUUCGGAUUGUAGUCUGCAACUCGACUACAUGAAGCAGGAAUUGCUAGUAAUCGUAA